AAUCAACGCUGGCGGCGUGCCUAACACAUGCAAGUCGAACGAGAAAGUGGAGCAAUCCAUGAGUAAAGUGGCGCACGGGUGAGUAACACGUGACUAACCUACCCUUGAGGUGGGGGAUAACCUAGGGAAACCUGGGCUAAUACCGCAUAAUACCGUACGGGUCAAAGGAGCAAUUCGCGUUUGGGGAGGGGGUCGCGGCCGAUUAGUUAGUUGGCAGGGUAAUGGCCUACCAAGACGAUGAUCGGUAUCCGGCCUGAGAGGGCGCACGGACACACUGGAACUGAAACACGGUCCAGACUCCUACGGGAGGCAGCAGGUGGGGAAUUUUGCGCAAGUCGGGGGAAACCCUGACGCAGCAACGCCGCGUGGAGGAUG
This 375-nucleotide ribosomal RNA is filed under the name uncultured bacterium. RNAcentral's name for it is "bacterial SSU rRNA". It matches the Rfam family "Bacterial small subunit ribosomal RNA", at positions 32 to 410 of the family's 1533-position model. The record is from RNAcentral.